RNAcentral lists this ribosomal RNA (467 nucleotides) under uncultured bacterium. Its description in RNAcentral is "partial 16S ribosomal RNA". The stretch from base 57 to 467 matches the Rfam family "Bacterial small subunit ribosomal RNA", at positions 39 to 507 of the family's 1533-position model. The record is from RNAcentral.
GGGGGGGGGGGGGGGGGGGGGGGGGGGGGGGGGGGGGGGGGGGGGGGGCGGGGGGGGGGGGGGGCUCGAGUGGCGCGGGGGGGAGGGGGGCGGGAGGAACGUGCCCGUGGCUGUGGGAUAACGGCGGGGACCUGGGGCGCAUCCCGGGUAGGAGCUUCUGCUGCAUGGUGGGGGUUGGCCGGGUUCGGCCGCUGGCGAUGGACUCGCGGCUUAUCAGCUUGUUGGUGGGGUAGUGGCUUACCAAGGCUUUGACGGGUAGCCGGCAUGAGAGGGUGACCGGCCACAUUGGGACUGAGAUGAGGCCCAGACUCCUACGGGAGGCAGCAGUGGGGAAUAUUGCACAAUGGGCGGAAGCCUGAUGCAGCAACGCCGCGUGCGGGAUGACGGCCUUCGGGUUGUAAACCGCUUUCGCCUGUGACGAAGCGUGAGUGACGGUAAUGGGUAAAGAAGCACCGGCUAACUACGUG